Molecule: ribosomal RNA, 253 nt
Filed under: uncultured bacterium
Lineage: Bacteria
Description: partial 16S ribosomal RNA
Rfam family: Bacterial small subunit ribosomal RNA
Source: RNAcentral
UACGGGGGGAGCAAGCGUUGUUCGGAUUUACUGGGCGUAAAGGGCGCGUAGGCGGCGUGACAAGUCACUUGUGAAAUCUCCGGGCUUAACCCGGAGCGGCCAAGUGAUACUGUCGUGCUAGAGUGCGGAAGGGGCUACUGGAAUUCUCGGUGUAGCGGUGAAAUGCGUAGAUAUCCGGAGGAACACCGGUGGCGAAGGCGGCUCACUGGCCCGGUACUGACGCUGAGGUGCGAAAGCGUGGGGAGCAAACAGG